RNAcentral lists this ribosomal RNA (265 nucleotides) under uncultured archaeon. RNAcentral describes it as "partial 16S ribosomal RNA". It matches the Rfam family "Archaeal small subunit ribosomal RNA", at positions 717 to 982 of the family's 1478-position model. The record is from RNAcentral.
ACACGUCUACAUUAGAUACCCCUGUAGUCCCAGCCGUAAACUAUGCGCGUUAGGUGUAUCGGUGACCACGAGUUACCGAGGUGCCGAAGGGAAACCGUGAAACGUGCCGCCUGGGAAGUACGGUCGCAAGGCUGAAACUUAAAGGAAUUGGCGGGGGAGCACCACAACAGGUGGAGCCUGCGGUUUAAUUGGACUCAACGCCGGACAACUCACCGGGGACGACAGCAAUAUGUAGGCCAGGCUGAAGACCUUGCCUGAAUCGCUG